Molecule: ribosomal RNA, 117 nt
Filed under: Niallia nealsonii
Lineage: Bacteria; Bacillati; Bacillota; Bacilli; Caryophanales; Bacillaceae
Source: RNAcentral
UCUGGUGGCGAUAGCGAAAAGGUCACACCCGUUCCCAUACCGAACACGGAAGUUAAGCUUUUCAGCGCCGAUGGUAGUUGGAGGUUCUCCUCCUGUGAGAGUAGGACGUCGCCAGGC